This 468-nucleotide ribosomal RNA is filed under the name uncultured bacterium. Its description in RNAcentral is "partial 16S ribosomal RNA". It matches the Rfam family "Bacterial small subunit ribosomal RNA", at positions 28 to 507 of the family's 1533-position model. The record is from RNAcentral.
GACGAACGCUGGCGGCGUGCUUAACACAUGCAAGUCGAACGGAAAGGCCCUGCUUUUGUGUGGUGCUCGAGUGGCGAACGGGUGAGUAACACGUGAGUAACCUGCCCUUGACUUUGGGAUAACUUCAGGAAACUGGGUCCAAUAUCCGAUAGAAGCUCCUGCUCCGUGGUGGGGGAUGGAAAGUUUCGGCGGUAUGGGAUGGAUUCGCGGCUUAUCGGCUUGUUGGUAGGGUAGUGGUUGACCAAGUCUUUGACGGGUAGCCGGCCUUGGAGGGUGACCGGCGACAAUGCGACUGCGGGACGGCGCAGUCUGGUAUGUUAGGCAGCGGUGGGAAGUAUUGCACAGCGGGGCGGAGCCUGGUGAGGCGGCGUCGGGGGCGGAAUGACGUCCUUCGGGGUGUGAACCGCUUUCGCCUGAGACGAGGCGUGAGUGACGGUAAUGGAUAAAUAAGCACCGGCUAACUACGUG